Molecule: long non-coding RNA, 1365 nt
Filed under: Rattus norvegicus (Norway rat)
Lineage: Eukaryota; Metazoa; Chordata; Mammalia; Rodentia; Muridae
Description: long non-coding RNA NONRATT002165
Source: RNAcentral
GGCCGACCCGUGAGGGUGUGGGUUCCUGGCUUCCGGGUGGGCGUGCGGGGCGGACGAACAAGUGGCCGGAGGCUCGGCCGUAGGACAGGGCCAUGGAGAAGCUACGGCGCGUCCUGAGCGGCCAAGACGACGAGGAGCAAGGCCUGACGGCACAGGAUUUCCAGAUGAUCUGCUGAGGUCCUGGAUGCCUCAUCCCUGAGUUUCAACACCAGGUUGAAGUGGUUUGUCAUAUGCUUUGUUGCUGGCAUUUUCUUUUCAAUCCUUGGAACUGGGUUGCUAUGGCUUCCCAAUGGCGUGAAGCUCUUUGCAGUAUUUUAUACCCUUGGAAACCUUGCUGCAUUGGCCAGUACGUGCUUUUUAAUGGGACCUGUGAAGCAACUGAAGAAAAUGUUUGAAACAACAAGAUUGCUUGCAACAAUUAUUAUGCUGUUGUGCCUGGUGUUUACCCUGUGUGCUGCUCUCUGGUGGCGGAAGAAGGGGCUGGCCUUACUCUUCUGCAUAUUGCAGUUCUUGUCAAUGACCUGGUAUAGUCUGUCCUACAUCCCGUAUGCAAGGGACGCGGUGCUCAAGUGCUGCUCCUCCAUCCUGAGUUGAAGGUCGUCCCUGCCCAGGAGGAGUGACUGGGAACUGAUGCUGUGCCUGCUCCAGUGAUCACUCCAGAGAUGGCAGUAGUCUCAGCCGUGCCGUGGACCGCUGAACCUCACUGUGCAGCCCUCCGGUCCCUGCCCGUUAACCUCUGCUUCCAAAGACAAGAUCGUAAUCAUUGCCACUUGUAAAUACUUGUUACCCUGUUUUUAAUCUUUACAGACAGCUUCUGAAAUGUGAAUAUUUAAGGUGUAAACCUGUGUUGUAAGAUAUAUCCCACUUAUUCAGCCUUUUUAAAUGCUCCACAACUUUAAAGAGUUUUUUAACUUUAAAAAUGUGAAACUUUAUAUACUUUAAGCCCAAAAUUACUUAUUACGUGUAAUAAAAAGUAAUAUAUGUAUCUUGACAGUUUUGAAAUAAACACUUGGAAAUGUAACAUUUUCUGGAUCAGCCGUAUAAGGUGGAGAAGGUGUAGCUUGUGGGCAGUUCACACCACUCAGUGUCUCAAAGUACAGAAAUGGUGGAAGAGGACAGGCAGCUGGGGACACCCUGUGGACUUGGGGGCUGGAGAGAUGGCUCCGCUAAGAAUGCUUGCUUCUCUCCAGAGAACCAGUUUAAUUCCCAGCAUGCACGCGUAAAGUGGCUCACAACCAUCUUUUAACUCCAGUUUUAGGGGAUCUGAGUCCUCUCCUGGCCUCCAGAGGUACCACAUGCACACGUUGACCAGACAUACAUGUAAACAAAGCACUCUUAUACACAAAAAUAAAUCUGUAAAAUAGC